This is a long non-coding RNA of Syngnathus acus (greater pipefish), 438 nucleotides long. RefSeq lists it as uncharacterized. NCBI's taxonomy places the organism in Eukaryota, Metazoa, Chordata, Actinopteri, Syngnathiformes, Syngnathidae. The record is from RefSeq and is a predicted model, not a curated record. The transcript has 2 exons.
UGCUCACUUCUGACGUCACGUCCCGCUGGUCCACCUGCUGUUCCGCACGCUUUUCCACAACAUGCAGCGUUUAAAACUUUGACAAGCGUCAAGUUGCGGGUUGGCCGUGCUUUUACACCUUGCUAACAUGCAAGCUAGAAAGGGUGCUCUCGCGUUGGCAGUUAACGUCUUCUAUGACCUUUUAAAUUCCAUCAAACGCCAAAGGUAAGACAAAACGUUUGCAUAAAUUCAUAACAGAAUGAAUCAAAUAGUUUGCUGCACGCGUGUUAAUUGUCUAAUAUUUGUCUGCAGGUGCGGCUCUUCCAAAUGAUUCUCAAAUGACGGACUUUCUGUUUGAUGAAAGUGGAUUCACACGUGAACCCUUUUAAUUAACAGCAUCUACUGGUCUCAUUUCUGUCCACAGGCCUGCAUCUGCAACAGAAGAACCAGAUUGACUGC